RNAcentral lists this transfer RNA (83 nucleotides) under Salibacteraceae bacterium. RNAcentral describes it as "tRNA-Leu". It matches the Rfam family "tRNA". From Rfam's summary of the family: Transfer RNA (tRNA) molecules are approximately 80 nucleotides in length. Their secondary structure includes four short double-helical elements and three loops (D, anti-codon, and T loops). Further hydrogen bonds mediate the characteristic L-shaped molecular structure. tRNAs have two regions of fundamental functional importance: the anti-codon, which is responsible for specific mRNA codon recognition, and the 3' end, to which the tRNAs corresponding amino acid is attached (by aminoacyl-tRNA synthetases). tRNAs cope with the degeneracy of the genetic code in two manners: having more than one tRNA (with a specific anti-codon) for a particular amino acid; and 'wobble' base-pairing, i.e. permitting non-standard base-pairing at the 3rd anti-codon position. Lineage: Bacteria; Pseudomonadati; Bacteroidota; Flavobacteriia; Flavobacteriales; Salibacteraceae. The record is from RNAcentral.
GCCCAGGUGGCGAAAUUGGUAGACGUGCACGCUUGAGGGGCGUGUGAACUAAGUUCAUGCGGGUUCGAGUCCCGCCUUGGGCA